UUUUUGAAAAAACACAUUAUUUUUUAAUUAUUUCUUAAUUGUGUGAAAUCCAGUGAAAAUGUUCAUAUUUUAGGGGUGAAUGUUGUGUGGUUGACGUGUUUACAUUCACGACACUGGUAUGCGUGACCUGCAUCUACAAAUAGCUUCCACCGUUGGAGCGAUCUUGCUUCGGGUCAUCCAUACCAGUUCCAGCUGGAUUUCUGCUGCGGUGUCUGUUUACGCGAGUUGUUUUCUGCUGUAUUUGCACAUAUGCUUGAUUAUGGAUGAUAUUGUUGUUUUCACACGUCUCUUAUUUUUCUGAUUUUCCUUUCAGAGCUACAUGCAUUAACUAACCCUAAAGAACUGCCAGCAAGUGUGAACAUCAGCUAUUUGACUGAUUGACAUUUGACCCUAGGGGUCGAAGGGCACCGUACGUGAUAUAGCCCUAGCUGCUGGCACGGCAUAAAAAAAAAACAAACAAAGCCCUGAGACAAGAACUGACUCGUUUUACUUCUGAUGAAAUAAAGAAUCAGAAAAAAUAA
Pomacea canaliculata is the source of this 521-nucleotide long non-coding RNA. RefSeq lists it as uncharacterized. The transcript is spliced from 2 exons. The record is from RefSeq and is a predicted model, not a curated record. NCBI's taxonomy places the organism in Eukaryota, Metazoa, Mollusca, Gastropoda, Architaenioglossa, Ampullariidae.